Mesocricetus auratus (golden hamster) is the source of this 1490-nucleotide non-coding RNA. Lineage: Eukaryota; Metazoa; Chordata; Mammalia; Rodentia; Cricetidae. The record is from the annotation of a RefSeq genome assembly.
AAAGAGAGGUUGAUCAUCUUUACGCACCCACUGGGCAGCCAUGAAAUGUAACCUUGAAAAUACAGGAGAAGGAAGCUACUGUCUCAGAGGAAAUCAUGGAAAGGACUCUUCCACAGACAGCCAUCUCCCCUUCCACUAAGCAGGCUGAGCCUAAAGGGGAGGGGUUGAGCCAGCAGAGUAUGCUCAAGGGUGAAGGGACCCUAUGGGAGCCAACAAGAUCACUGAUCUCAGAGCCCGACAUCACAGGCAGUGAGAUGAGAGGAGGAGAGAGAGGAGGAGCUGACUCUGCUCUCACAAGGACAGCAGCAUCCUGAGGAGAAGGAUGAGUGACACUGCCCUCCCUGACUCUGCCUGGGGCCCCACCCUGCUCUGCUGUGUCACUGUCUUUCUCCUGGGGACAGAACCCAUGGAGGCUGCAGUCACCCAAAACCCAAGAAACAAGGUGGCAGUAACAGGAGGAGAAGUAACACUGAACUGUCACCAGACUGAUAAUCAUGACUACAUGUACUGGUAUCGGCAGGACCCGGGGCAUGGACUGAGGCUGAUCCAUUAUUCAUACAUUGCUGGCAACACUGAGAAUGGAGAUAUACCAGAUGGGUACAAAGCCACCAGACCAAGGACGGAGGCCUUCUCCCUUGUUGUGGAGACGGCUUCACCCUCUCAGACAGCUGUGUACUUCUGUGCCAGCAGUUAUACACAGCAGCGAGUGGCUGACUCCUCUCUGCACAUAAUGUAAAUCAAGUUGCCUGUGUGCCUCAGGAAGUCUCUGCUUCUGUAAGAGUCACUGAGCUAUGACCAACAAGGACCAUUUCAGCAUGGGUCUCAGCCCAACUGAAGUCCAUUCUAACACCGUUUCAUGGCUGCUUGUGUCUUCUCCACCCCUUGUUUCUGCCUUCAGAGAGGAACUAGAAUCCUUAGUUGAAGUCCUGAUGACUCUUUUGGUAAGCUUACAACCAUCGACUCUCCAACAACUUUACUAUCCAUCUGAGUCACUAACAUGGUCUCUUUCCAAGCUGUGUUUACUCUGUAGGUCAGUAGACCCUUUGUUCUAUAGGACAAUCGUUUGCAAGGUCCUGCGUCAUAUUUUUCCCUCGUCUCUGUCAUCAGCCUUUUCCCCAGGUUCCUUCCUCUCCAGCUGAACUUGUCUGUGUCCCAUUACUUCCUCAUGCACUUUUCGCUGCUUUCAACCCCAGAGAUGGUUUCCUAGGCCAUUUCUUCUGCACAGAACAAUGGCCUUUCCCUAUUGUUAUGGAUCUCUUCUUUCCAUGAAAAAUCUAUUCCAGGUUGCAUUAUUUUUCUUUACCUUUUAAAGAUCUUCAUGUCAUUAUAUUAUUUCUUCCCUUACCUCUUCCUCUAGCCCUGCACACAAUUCUAUUUCCUUUCUAACUCGUGGCCUCUUAUUCUUUUUAACUAUAUACUUUUGGUUUGGUUUUUUUGGGGGGAUGUAGGGGGUGUAUGGUAUGAAUAAAAAUAUAAUUUCAACCUGUCAA